GUCUUUUUGAUUUAAAUAUAAAGUAUAACCUGCCCAUUGAAAAUUUUAAAAGGCUGCGGUAUAUUAACCGUACAAAGGUAGCAUAAUCAUUAGUUUUUUAAUUGAGAACUUGUAUGAAUGGUUGAAUGAGAAAUAAACUUUUUUAAUAGAAAAAUUGAAUUUUACAUUUUAAUUAAAAGGUUAAAAUGAUUUUAAAAGACGAGAAGACCCUAUAGAUUUUUAUAAUUUGUAUUUAAUAUUUUAAAAAAUUUAAUAAAUAUUUUUAUUUUUAUAAAUUAUUUUGUUGGGGUGAUAAUAAAAUUUAAUUAACUUUUAUUUUUUUUAUACAUUAAUAUAUGGAAAAUUGAUCCAUUACUAAUGAUUAAAAAAUUAAAUUACCUUAGGGAUAACAGCGUAAUUUUUUUUUUAAGUUCAUAUUAAUAAAAAAUUUUGCGACCUCGAUGUUGGAUUAAGAUUUAAUUUUAGGUGCAGAAGUUUAAAAUUUAAGUCUGUUCGACUUUUAAAUUCUU
Molecule: ribosomal RNA, 509 nt
Filed under: Pseudolycoriella orite
Lineage: Eukaryota; Metazoa; Arthropoda; Insecta; Diptera; Sciaridae
Description: partial 16S ribosomal RNA
Source: RNAcentral